Long non-coding RNA from Onychostoma macrolepis, 641 nucleotides. RefSeq lists it as uncharacterized. The record is from RefSeq and is a predicted model, not a curated record. NCBI's taxonomy places the organism in Eukaryota, Metazoa, Chordata, Actinopteri, Cypriniformes, Cyprinidae. The transcript has 4 exons.
UGAUGCAGUGACACUGGAGAAAAAAAGCUUUCUUAUGCUUCAGGACAACAAUACAAACCAGAGCACAACUUAUUCUUACAGACAAAUCAUUCAUUCAUUCAGGACUCAUUCACCAUUAGGACCAUGAGGAACAAUGGAGAAGACUACUGAUGUUGAGCUCUGCCACCUAAAGGUCCUGUUGUACAGACAGAAGAUCCUUCAGGUCCAGAUGUGGGGGAAAAAGUGGGAGAGGUGGAUGGUGACGGAGAAGGACCAUCUUAACCCAUUUGAUCUUCACAAGCACCCCACUAAACGGCCCAAUAUGCCCAACAGACGGAAGCAGGCUGGCUGCCAGUAGCCCGGUUUAGAAUACGGGUCAGCCUCAGAGUGACCCAUGUGGAGGAGCAGUCACCCCAAAGAACGCUCCAGAAGGUUCCCAAAGCCUCAUAAAACUGGGCCAAGCUCCUGACUGAUGUGGCGUACCUGCUGCAGUACUUCUGUGCCAUCACAACAGUGACUACAGCUUGAAGAUGGGACACAAUGCUUUUCCUCUCACACUCUUCCCCUCUUUCUUCUUUCUCUCUUGUGCUCUCAACAACUAUGAGUCCUUUAAAGUAACUAGAGAGCAAAAGAUACAUAGAGACAGAGAGAGAAUGCUUUAG